Molecule: long non-coding RNA, 733 nt
Organism: Melopsittacus undulatus (budgerigar)
Lineage: Eukaryota; Metazoa; Chordata; Aves; Psittaciformes; Psittaculidae
Exons: 3
Source: RefSeq, a predicted model, not a curated record
GUGUCCCGGGGCCAUCCCCGGCCCCUUCCCGAGAGCUCCCGGCGGCUCCAGCGGGCGCUGCUGCUCCGCAGAGCCGGGACCGACACCGGGGAGGGGCCCCGGGCUCCGGCACACGCGGCCGAGUGCUGGGAGCGGAGCCCGAGGGCUGAGCCUGGGCUGGGGCCGCGCUCGGAGCUGGGCAAUGGAGUCCUGAGCGUUGGAGUCUGGAAACCAAGCGGGGCCGGUUCGGGGUGCCCAAUGGGCUGGAGGCUGUGAGCAUCGAGAGCAGGGGCUGCCUGAGCAGCGGACGGUGAAGAGACAGAUGGGACAUCGUUGGAACGCAGGCCCAAGGAGAGGCCCCGUGCAGCUCUCUUCAGGGACCAUCCCGGGGUGCUCGACCUGUCCCUGCAAGAAGAACACCCAUCACCACCAAUCUCUUCAUGCGGCUGCCGCUGGCCACCUUUCCUACCCACCACCAGCCCAACCUGCUUCCUCCCCACACAUCUUGGCCUUGUGGCACUCCUAGCCCCACACUGUGGCCAUGCUGCAUCCUUCUAUCUGUCCUGUAUCAUCUUCUGCUUCUCCACUGGUAUGUGGAGCAUGGGCAGACUGUGCCUGGUCCCUCCUCCAGGCCUUUGCUUCCCUGGCUUUUCCCAGCUGGCUCCCACAUGUACACAGCUGUGCAGAUCCUUCCCAAAUAACAGCCUUCAUCCUGUGAGAUGGAAUAAACCUCCUUUCCACACACAGACUUCAA